AGAUUGUUCUUCUAAAACAGGCUGGUGUUCAGUGUUCCAGUUCUCCUCUUUCUGAGAUAUAAAGCUCUCAAGAGCAAAAGGUUCACACUUUGGUUAUGCAAAUAUGUCCAACCUCCCCAGUUUCUAACUGGCACCUUCUGAUCCCCAUUCCCUCUGUUCAUGAAAAGAAAUAAAGAAGACUCUUCAGUAGGCCAACAGUCUAAACCUAAAUGAUGUUUUGUUUGAUUUAUCUGGGCUAACAGCAAUAACUAAUAGGCCAGUGUGGUCCUACUUACUGACAGGAAGACUAAACAAUCCUCAGACCCACAACUGAACUGAGAGAAACCUCCAGGAUCAAUGAAAUGGAGCAGUUUGAGUAUGACAGAAAUAAUACAAAUGGCUUUAUUGUUCUGCUAAAAUCAUUAUCACAUGGUAUCAACACAUUACUUCCUGUAGAGAGUCGCUGUACCUUGAAGAGGUUUUUGUACAGCGUCUCUAUGAGUCUGUAUCACUGUGGUGGACUUUCGGUGGCGGCACAAGACUCGAUGUUGGAAGUAAGUAAUAUCAUCUUUGGUCCUAUGUAAUAUAUUGGUCUACAUCUUAACGCUUUGGUUAAUUUGCCUUCAUUGUAUCAUUUGGUUUUGAAAUUAAUAUAUGUUUUAAUGGUGUGCUUUAAUAGGCAGAUAAAUCAUAAACUUACGAGUCUGGUUUGGUAAUAAAACGAAAUAGGCUACCAAUGUAA
Molecule: long non-coding RNA, 721 nt
Organism: Clupea harengus (Atlantic herring)
Lineage: Eukaryota; Metazoa; Chordata; Actinopteri; Clupeiformes; Clupeidae
Exons: 2
Source: RefSeq, a predicted model, not a curated record